RNAcentral lists this transfer RNA (73 nucleotides) under Bos taurus (domestic cattle). RNAcentral describes it as "tRNA-Ala (TGC) (tRNA-Ala-TGC-16-1)". It matches the Rfam family "tRNA". From Rfam's summary of the family: Transfer RNA (tRNA) molecules are approximately 80 nucleotides in length. Their secondary structure includes four short double-helical elements and three loops (D, anti-codon, and T loops). RNAcentral also lists the same sequence under 1 other name. The record is from Rfam by way of RNAcentral. Lineage: Eukaryota; Metazoa; Chordata; Mammalia; Artiodactyla; Bovidae.
UCCCUGGCAGUCCAGUGGUUAGGAUUCUGCACUUGCACUGCAGGGGGCCUGGGUUCGAUCCCUGGUCAGGGAA